This is a long non-coding RNA of Zingiber officinale, 259 nucleotides long. RefSeq lists it as uncharacterized. The transcript is spliced from 3 exons. The record is from RefSeq and is a predicted model, not a curated record. NCBI's taxonomy places the organism in Eukaryota, Viridiplantae, Streptophyta, Magnoliopsida, Zingiberales, Zingiberaceae.
UCGUUCUCUGCCCUAGCACUGGUCUGCCAGCCGUCCAGUGCCAGCCGCCAGCUUGUUAUCGACCUGAGUCUCUGGUAUUAAGGUUUCCAGCAGCAGCUUCGUCGGGUUCUUGGUCAUCGCAGGCGAUUAGAGGAAGAGGGCGUUUCUUGAUUUCCAAUAGCUACCUCUGUUCCGACAGCAAGUUGUCUUUGCUAUGGAUUUGUUGGGCUGUGGAUUAAGGACUGUGACGCGAGAUGAGCAACUCGACGUUGGAUUUGGA